Molecule: long non-coding RNA, 6313 nt
Filed under: Nicotiana tabacum (common tobacco)
Lineage: Eukaryota; Viridiplantae; Streptophyta; Magnoliopsida; Solanales; Solanaceae
Description: long non-coding RNA (NTAB_LNC017715)
Source: RNAcentral
UUCAGGAGUGCACACUCAAAUCUCACAUAAACUGCUUGCAAAAUCGCCUUUCUCUUUUGCUUUCAAUUUAGUUUAACUUCUGUAUUUGUGCAAUACCUAUAAAAGAGAACAAUCACUGUCAUUUAAUAGGUUAGAAAUCAGAGUUUGGUUGGGACUCAAUUUCUGAUCUUCUAUCGUAGUUGAGUCCUUGAAGAUAUCAAACUCUAACACUCUCUUUAUCCGGAUUGUGUUCUCUUCAUAUAAAGAGACUUUCUCCCCUUAUCCAAUAUGCAACCUUUUCGAUCAGAUCAGGAGAUAUUGAUGUUUGAUCAAUAUGACUUAUCUCCUUCACGUGCAUCUCACAUAUGUAGGUUGAUCAUGACAGUGCUUCACAAGAUGGACCUGGUCCAUGACUGAGUUCAUUUGUCAUUCUUCAAAACUUCACUUGUUCUUGGGCCAACAGUACCAUACUCUGCAACCAAAUCAAUGCUUAACCACGUCUUUUCCUCUAAAAUAAGCCCUCAAACUAAUCAAAUCUAACCAAAUAUAGUUCAAAUAAAUAGGCUUUAUAAACUACCCACGGGUGAAAAAUAUUCAAUCUUUAAUGAUUUUGGAAAAAGUCAACAAAAGUUAAUUCCUGGCUCGCUUGGUCAAAACCUGAGAUUUGGAUUAAAACUCAAUUAGCCAUUCAUUCAGAGCCUGAUUAUGUGAUUAGUUUCGAAAGCCGACCUCAAUUUGAAGUAUAAAUCUCAAUUUCUCAAAAUCCCCAAAUUUUACCUAAAUUCUUAAUUUCUACCAUGUCUAGGAGACUAGAUGGGUGGGGAACAGGGCUCGGGAGGCUGGUGGGUUUAAGUUGUGGUAUUCAGGGAGGGUGAGAGGGAAGAAUAGGGUAGGCAUUUUAGUUGAUAAGGACCUAAGGGAGCUAGUGGUAGAGGUUAAGAGGGUGAAUGACAUGAUGAUGGCCGUUAUGAUAGUCGUGGGUAGGUAUACUCUGAACGUAGUUAGUGCAUACGCGCCUCAGGUGGGUUUGGACGAGGAGGUUAAAAGACAAUUCUAGGAGGAUUUGGAUGGGUUGGUACGGGGUAUACCGUCCACCGAAAAACUUAUUACAGGGGGUGAUUUUAAUGGCCACAUAAGAAGGUCCCCUGGGGGAUAUGCCAGUGUGCAUGGUGGUUUUGGUUUUGGAGAUAGAAACGGAGGAGGUACUUCGCUUCUGGAGUAUGCUAAAGUUUUUGAGCUAGUGAUUGCUAACUCGUAUUUCCCGAAGAAGGCGGAGCACUAAUAACUUUUCGGAGUACGGUGGCCAAGACCCAGAUUGACUAUCUGGUUCUCUGGAAAUGUGAUAGAAGUCUAUGCACGGAUUGCAAGGUCUUCCCGAGUGAGAACCUUACGACCCAACAUAUGCUUUUGAUAAUGGACUUAGAGAUCAGGUGGACAAGGAAGAGGAGGGCUAUGUCUGAAAUUCCUAGGGUCAGGUGGGGUGCAUUAACUAAGGACAAGGCACAAGAGUUGGGGGAGAAGUUGUUGGAUUUGGGGGCCUGGAGGAGUAUCGGGGACGCGAGCUGUAUGUGGUCAAUGAUAACAAAUUGUAUUAGAGAGGCGGCGAGAAAGGUGUUAGGGGUCUCAAAGGGUUUAUCUGGUGGCUAUAAAGGGGACUGGUGGUGGAACGGAGAGGUGCAAGGAAACAUGGAAUCAAAGAAAGCGUCAUAUUUGAAGCUAGUAGAGAGUAUAGACGAGGGGCAGAAGAGUGCCAACAGGGAGGGGUACAAGAAGGCUAGGAGAGAGACGAAUUUGGUGGUUACGGCAGCUAAAGCCGUGGCGUUUAGUUGUUUAUACGAAGAAAUUAGGGUUAAAGGUGGGGACAAGAAAUUGUAUAGACUAGCUAAGGUGAGGGAGCGGAAGGCCCGGGAUCUGGACCAAGUGAGAUGCAUAAAAGACGAGGAGGGAAGAGUUUUAUUGGAAGGGGCACAGAUCAGGCAGAGAUGGCAGGCAUACUUCCAUAAACACUUGAACGAGGAGGGAGAUAGGGGCAUCACAUUGGGGGAGUUGGAUUACUCAGAGAGGCAGCAAAAUUUUGGGUAUUGUAGGUGCAUACGAGUGGGGGAGGUGGAAGAGGCUAUGUGCAGGAUGAGUAGGGGUAGAGCGACUGGGCCAGACGAGAUCCCGGUGGAAUUCAAGAAGAGUGUGGACAAGGAGGGCUUGGAAUGGCUUGCUAGGUUGUUUAACGCCAUUUCUAGGACGAAGAAGAUGCACGAAGAGUAGAGGCGAAGUACGAUGAUCCGGUUGAACAAGAACAAGGGGGAUGUCCAAAACUGCAACAACUAUAGGGGUAUCAAGUUGUUAAGUCAUACGAUGAAAGUGUGGGAGAGGGUGAUUGAAGGGAGAUUUAAGAGGUGCGUGUCCAUUUCUGAGAACCAGUUCAGUUUCAUGCUGGGACGGUCAACUACUGAGGCCAUACACACUGUGAGGAUAUUGGUAGAGUGGUAUAGGGCGUUGAAAAAGGAUUUGCAUAUGGUGUUCAUGAACUUGGAGAAAGUCUAUGACAAAGUACCGCGAGAAGUUCUAUGGAGAUAUUUUAAGGCAGGAGGUGUGCCUGUAGCAUAUAUUAGAGUGAUCCAGAACAUGUAUGAUGGGGCGAAGACACGGGUAAGGACAACAUGAGGAGACUCUGACUACUUUUCGGUUAAGAUAGGGUUGCAUCAGGGAUCAACACUCAGCUCGUUUUUGUUUUCCCUAACGAUGGAUUCUUUGAUGCGUCACCUCCAAGGGGAGGUGCCUUGGUGAUUGUUAUUUGCGGAUGACAUAGUCCUGAUUGAUGAGACGCGAGGUGGCAUUAACGAAAGGCUGGAGGUCUGGAGAUGUACUCUAGAGUCUAAGGGUUUCAAGUUGAGCAGGACCAAGACAGAAUACUUGGAGUACAAGUUCAGUGGUGUUACCCAAGAGGUGGGCGGGGAUGUGAGAUUCGAUACGCAAGUCAUUCCCAAGAGAGAGAGUUUCAAAUAUCUAGGAUCUAUAAUUCAAAUAAAUGGGGAGAUAGAUGAGGAUGUUACUUACCGUAUCGGAGCAGGAUGGACAAAGUGGAAACUUGCUUCCGGUGUCUUGUGUGAUAAGAAUGUGCCAUUGAAACUUAAGUUCUACAAGGUAGUGGUCAGACCGAUUAUGUUGUAUGGGGUAGAGUGUUGACCCGUCAAAAAGUCACAUGUCCAGCAUAUGAAAGUAGCAUAAAUAAGGAUGUUGAUAUGGAUGUGUGUGCAUACUAGAUUGGAUAGAAUUAGGAAUGAAUUUAUUUAGGACAAGGUGGGAGUGGCCCCAGUGGAGGCAAAGAUGCGUGAGGCAAGGUUGAGAUGGUUUGGGCAUGUUAAGAGGAGAAGCACAGAUGCCCCAGUCAGGAGAUGUGAGAGGUUGGCCUUGGGAGGUGAGAGGAGGGGUAGAGGUAGACCUAAGAUGCCUUGGGGUGAAGUGAUCAGGCAGGACAUGGCGCAGCUUGAACUGACCGAGGACAUGACCCUAGAUAGAAGGGUGUGGAGGUGAAAGAUUAGGGUGGAAGGUUAGUAGGUAGUUGGGAGUUUCCCUUUGUCUUACCUAUUUCGAUAGUAUUAGUGCUAGUAUGGUACCCUUUUUUCCUUAGUUUGCUAUAGCCGCACGUCUUGUUCUGUUACUACUUACCUCCGGUAAUUCCGUAGUUUGCUAGCAGGACUUUGUCAUAUUCUCGUGUGCUGCCUUGGACUUAUCUGUCUAAAUAUACUAUCUUGAUAUUACUUGUUAUCGGUACUAUCUUGCUAUUCUUUGCUGUUAUCUCCGAUUUAGUUUUCUAAUUAUUUGUCUUGCUAUCACUUGCUAUCAGGGCUUCCUUCACCUUCUUUAGCCGAGGGUCAUUCGAAAACAGUCUCCCUACCCUUAAUGCUACGUACAUCCUACCCUCCCCAGAUCCCACUUGGUGGGAUUAUACUGGGUAGUUGUUGUUGUCCUAAUUUCUACCGUGAAAAAACAUAUAUUAAAGGUUAAAAAUCAACGGAUGUUUAUGGAAAUAUAAGGAAACAAGUUAAAAUCUACUAAUCUAUGAAGUUGGGAUGGAAAAUCUCUUCAAAAUCACCUCUUGGCCGACCUCAAACUUGAAAAUGGUGAAAAAUGAGAAGAAUCCCGAUUUUUAGAAGUUUAAAUCACUGGGCAUCAGGCGUUUUUCGAGUUAAUGAAACACUUGACGUGAUCGCGAAGCACUAGAGGCCAAAAGACUUUUGCGUUCGUGAGAAAUCCUUCGCAUUUGCGAGAAAACCUUCGCGUUCGCAAAGGCUUGCUCCCCCUUCCUUCGGGUUCACGAGCCAACUCAUAUCACACCUCCUUUUUACUACCCCAAAAGGGAUAUAAGGAAGUUUUUCUAAUUUAAGUGACAAUCGAAACGAGAUUAUUUAUAUUAAAAUCAGAGUCGCCACUUGGGAUAAUUUAUGGUGUCCCAAGUCACCGGAUUAAAUCCCGAAUCGAGGAAGUUGACUCUAUUUAUGGUCUGCGAACACAAAAAUUCGUGUAAAGAAUUUUGUUAACCCGGGAGAAGGUGUUAGGCAUUCCUGAGUUCCGUAGUUCUAGAACGGUCUCUUUGAUCAUACUUGGCUUAUAAAAAUUGUCUAAUUACUCAUUAAGAACCUAUGUGCAUUUGCCUUUUUUAAUUAAUAAAUUACCUUGAAACGGGUCACGCGUAUGUGUGCCCAUUUGUUUGGCGCGUCAAAAAUUAUGUCACAUGAAUGUGUCCACAAUUAAUAACAUUUUAUUAUUAUUAAGAAAUAUUUGGUCCAAGUUGCACGAACGCAUACCCCGAUUUUUUUUAUAAGAUCAUAAUCAUGUCACGCGAACGUGUACACAACCACGAUAGUAUAUUAACGUGCCUAAAGCAAAAUACGAAUAUCAUUAUUCUUCCUAAACUUUGAGACUAUUGUGAAGGCCAUGAGUUAUGGAAUUUUUGUAGAAGAAAUUACAGGAUGAUUUGUAGCUUUAUUAUCAUUUUUGGGCCAGCUGUGCAUUUAAUGAAAAACGACCAGCUUGGCUCUUAAAAAUUGGGUCCGACAGAACAACUUCUUUGGCCAUGGAUAUUGGAGACUAAAUUUUGCUUGUUCAAUUAACCUAAAUACUAACUAAGAGAAACAUACAGGUGACAACAAUUGAAACAAAAUAAAUUAAAAUGCCAAAUAUCAUCUGAAAAGAAUGAAGCAAAUGAGAAAAGGAUGUCACAGCUAAAUCUCAUUAUCCUAUAUAAAUAAAAGCGCAGACCCCACGCUCAAUUAACCUUGUAUUAACUCAUACGACCCAUUUUUAAUACCAUUCUCAAUGCCAAACCUUAUAGACCUUUAAUAACUCAAACCCCAUAACUUUUACUUUCAAGUGAGACUCAAUUCACGAUUUAAAAUUACCAACACAAAUAUUGCAAGUUCUAGACAAAUUGAUAUGCCUAAUGAGAAGAGUUAAGACUAACCAAAGCAUGGGUUGUGAAUUUCAACUUGGAGCACAUGGAAGCAAUUGAAAAAAUCAGAAAGGAACCCAGUAAUCCAACCACAAUUCACAUAAAAUCAAAGGAACACUAGCAGAAGACAAUUUCGCACAAAUCCAAGAGAAUACCACGAAAAAAUGGGAAAUAUGUCUUCAUAUAAGAAGUAACAUUGAAAAGUUAGAGAGGACCUCAAUUGAUAUUGUUAAACACCAAUAAUCCAAGAGUAUGAACAAUUUCAGACCGGCUUCUUGCACGGCAACCUCGGCAUGGGCAGCAAUUGAACUCGACUGAACUCAAGCUGGACCGGAACACGACAUAAACUUUUCUUUGUCAAACCCUUUUUUCGAAAGUUAUUAUCGACUCCAACAACUGAAACGAAACUCGACUACUUUCAAACUGCUCUGUUUUCAGAUCUGUUUUUAUUCAUUUUUCAUCCGCCUCUGUGCGUUUUCGUGUGUGUCUUUGUGUGGUGAGAUGAGAGGGUUGGGGUGUAAAUAUGAAGAAGAGGCCGUCCCUAGAGGAUGUUCCAGAGAUCGAGCCAGGUGAUCGUUGGUUUCUGGCGAAGAUGGUGAGCUGAGCGUUUUUUGAGUUCUGGUGUUUUUCGCUGGGAGAUGGGGUUCUUGGAGUGGAGGUCCGGCGAUUUGGUGGAGGUCUACGGUGGUUCCGAGUUCGCUGGUUCUUUGCUAGUGUUGAAGAAGAUGAAGAACGGGGGGCUGUUUGGGUGUCAAGCAGUGGACUUUUGUCUUUUGAACAGAGGGUCCUUUAGGGUGGGGUUUAUGAAGAAGACGAGGUCAGGGGUGUGUGGUUUCCUUGUACUGCGGCGUAUUUAGUCUCUUAGGUUAUUUUUUCAAUUCUUAG